AAGGAUUUGGCUCAGGAUUGCCCAUUUUAAAUUCCAGGGUUUCUCUGAAUUUGGAAGUUACCA
RNAcentral lists this transfer RNA (63 nucleotides) under Curcuma xanthella. RNAcentral describes it as "partial tRNA-Phe". Lineage: Eukaryota; Viridiplantae; Streptophyta; Magnoliopsida; Zingiberales; Zingiberaceae. The record is from RNAcentral. RNAcentral also lists the same sequence under 1 other name.